UCUGUUUUCCUGUGCCUACCCAAUUUUGGGACUCUAGACUGGAAGUCUUUAUUUGAAUAAAUCUUUGAAUUUGAAUUUGUCCAGCUACUUGCUUAUCUGUUGUCUGCAUUUGGGUCCAAUCCUGCUACCUGCUCUCCAAAACAUCACAAAGAUCCAGCCCUAGCUAAACACCUGAUGGAGGAUAGUAAGGAGGCUACAAAGCGUGAGUUUCCCAAGUCUAUCAGCCCCCAGCAGCCAGUAAGCCAUUGUGCUUCCAAGCUGGUGACGCCUUAGCUGUUCAGCAGUCCAGAGCCUCUGCAGCCCAGCUUCAAAGCCGAUGUCAAACCACUUCCUGUGUUGGGAGUCCCAGCUAAUGUCCCGUCUGUUCCUACGUUGGGAUUUCCCGCCAUCACCAGUCAGCGGUCCAGUUGACAUCUGCUCCUCACUCCCAGUCAGUCAAUCCCUGCCAACUGCAGCACUCCCAAGUCCCUACUGCGCUGCAACAGUCUUCUGGUUCCGCAGUUCCACCAGACUGCAGUUCUGCUCUCCAGCCAUCAGCCUCCAGGUCGUUAGCUUCCUGUUCAGGUCUACAUAAUGUCCAUCCUACCAACACAUUCACACUCCCAACAUGCCACGUAUUGCUGCUUGUUCAGUGGACUUUCAUGUCUACUUAUUACGUGCUAGGUAUCCUGUGUUCGUCUGUUAUUGACAUUCUGGGGUGCCAUGUCAAUUUAUGCCUGUAGCAUGCAUUGCGUCUUUUCAAAACAGUCUUCUGUUUUCACACAAAGUGUACUGUUUUUGCUCAUUAGAUGCAUACAGUCUUUUUAAAAAUAAAC
Non-coding RNA from Epinephelus lanceolatus (giant grouper), 815 nucleotides. The record is from RefSeq and is a predicted model, not a curated record. NCBI's taxonomy places the organism in Eukaryota, Metazoa, Chordata, Actinopteri, Perciformes, Serranidae.